UCCACGCCGUAAACGAUGUCAACUAGUCGUUGGGUUCUUUAAUGAACUUAGUGACGCAGCUAACGCAGUAAGUUGACCGCCUGGGGAGUACGGCCGCAAGGCUAAAACUCAAAGGAAUUGACGGGGGCCCGCACAAGCGGUGGAGCAUGUGGUUUAAUUCGAUGCAACGCGAAGAACCUUACCUACCCUUGACAUCCAGAGAAUCUGUUAGAGAUAGUAGAGUGCCUUCGGG
This 232-nucleotide ribosomal RNA is filed under the name uncultured bacterium. RNAcentral's name for it is "partial 16S ribosomal RNA". It matches the Rfam family "Bacterial small subunit ribosomal RNA", at positions 794 to 1024 of the family's 1533-position model. The record is from RNAcentral.